Molecule: ribosomal RNA, 750 nt
Filed under: uncultured bacterium
Lineage: Bacteria
Description: bacterial SSU rRNA
Rfam family: Bacterial small subunit ribosomal RNA
Source: RNAcentral
GUCGAACGGCAGCACGGAGAGCUUGCUCUCUGGUGGCGAGUGGCGAACGGGUGAGUAAUAUAUCGGAACGUAUCCAAUAAUGGGGGAUAACGAGUCGAAAGAUUCGCUAAUACCGCAUACGCCCUACGGGGGAAAGCAGGGGAUCGUAAGACCUUGCGUUAAUGGAGCGGCCGAUAUCUGAUUAGCUUGUUGGUGAGGUAAAGGCUCACCAAGGCGACGAUCAGUAGCUGGUUUGAGAGAACGACCAGCCACACUGGAACUGAGACACGGUCCAGACUCCUACGGGAGGCAGCAGUGGGGAAUUUUGGACAAUGGGGGCAACCCUGAUCCAGCCAUUCCGCGUGAGUGAAGAAGGCCUUCGGGUUGUAAAGCUCUUUCGCAAGGGAAGAAAACUUAUGAUCGAAUAAAUCAUGAGGUUGACGGUACCUUGAUAAGAAGCACCGGCUAACUACGUGCCAGCAGCCGCGGUAAUACGUAGGGUGCGAGCGUUAAUCGGAAUUACUGGGCGUAAAGCGUGCGCAGGCGGUUUUGUAAGUCAGAUGUGAAAGCCCCGGGCUCAACCUGGGAAUUGCAUUUGAAACUGGAAAACUAGAGUGUGUGAGAGGGGGGUAAAAUUCCAAGUGUAGCGGUGAAAUGCGUAGAGAUUUGGAGGAAUACCAGUGGCGAAGGCGGCCCCCUGGCACAACACUGACGCUCAGGUGCGAAAGCGUGGGGAGCAAACAGGAUUAGAUACCCUGGUAGUCCACGCCG